Molecule: ribosomal RNA, 880 nt
Filed under: Halorubrum sp. ES1D5
Lineage: Archaea; Methanobacteriati; Methanobacteriota; Halobacteria; Halobacteriales; Haloferacaceae
Description: bacterial SSU rRNA
Rfam family: Archaeal small subunit ribosomal RNA
Source: RNAcentral
GGCCAUUGCUAUUGGGAUCCGAUUUAGCCAUGCUAGUCGCACGAGUUCAGACUCGUGGCGAAUAGCUCAGUAACACGUGGCCAAACUACCCUUCGGAACACAAUACCCUCGGGAAACUGAGGCUAAUAGUGUAUACCACAUCACCACUGGAAUGAGUGAUGUGCCAAACGCUCCGGCGCCGAAGGAUGUGGCUGCGGCCGAUUAGGUAGACGGUGGGGUAACGGCCCACCGUGCCAAUAAUCGGUACGGGUCAUGAGAGUGAGAACCCGGAGACGGAAUCUGAGACAAGAUUCCGGGCCCUACGGGGCGCAGCAGGCGCGAAACCUUUACACUGCACGACAGUGCGAUAGGGGGAUCCCAAGUGCACAGGCAUAGCGCCUGUGCUUUUCGGUACCGUAAGGUGGUACCAGAAUAAGGGCUGGGCAAGACCGGUGCCAGCCGCCGCGGUAAUACCGGCAGCCCAAGUGAUGGCCGAUCUUAUUGGGCCUAAAGCGUCCGUAGCUGGCCGCGCAAGUCCAUCGGGAAAUCCACCUGCUCAACAGGUGGGCGCCCGGUAGAAACUGCGUGGCUUGGGACCGGAAGGCGCGACGGGUACGUCCGGGGUAGGAGUGAAAUCCCGUAAUCCUGGACGGACCGCCGAUGGCGAAAGCACGUCGCGAGGACGGAUCCGACAGUGAGGGACGAAAGCCAGGGUCUCGAACCGGAUUAGAUACCCGGGUAGUCCUGGCCGUAAACAAUGUCUGCUAGGUGUGGCUCCCACUACGAGUGGGUGCUGUGCCGUAGGGAAGCCGCUAAGCAGACCGCCUGGGAAGUACGUCCGCAAGGAUGAAACUUAAAGGAAUUGGCGGGGGAGCACUACAACCGGAGGAGCCUGCGGUUU